This 351-nucleotide long non-coding RNA is filed under the name Glycine max (soybean). Its description in RNAcentral is "long non-coding RNA (GMAX_LNC003144)". Lineage: Eukaryota; Viridiplantae; Streptophyta; Magnoliopsida; Fabales; Fabaceae. The record is from RNAcentral.
UGACAUAUAAACCCUACAAUCAUUCUAGAUCAUAGGUGAGUAGCCAAUAACAACACCCCCUGAUGCCUAGAAAUAAACAUCUAGAGUGGAUACAAAUAUGGGUGAUCCAAUAACACCCUUCUAUGUCUAAGAAAAUACAUCUAGAGUGUAGAUAAGUAUGGUUGGCCUAAGAGUGAAUCUAGGAUAGACUCUGAUACUAUUUUAGAAUUUGAGUAUAGGUCUAAUAUAACCUCCAAAAGCUACCUCCUUUUCUGCUUCCAAGUCAUUUACGCAAAACCAAAGAGACAACCAUGAGUCACAUUGGCUUGUCCUUCCUCUUCCUCAUUUCUUUAGCACUUCUCUCUAUUGCCA